UUGAAUGAGAGCAAGAGUUUAUUUUUUGUGUGUGUUUCUUUCUGAGUCUGUCCAUGUGUCAGAACAAUGAAAGGCUUUUAUAGCAUAAAAUAAAGCAAACAAAUAGGUAGGAAAUCAAUUGUACACAAAUAAGGCAGAGAAAUUAAUUAGUUUGUCAAUUAGGGCUAACAUGAAUCAAUUAAUAAGCAGAAUUAAGUAAGUACGGAGUAAAUCAGCAGACAAGAUUGAGUUUUUAAAUAAGGUAAGUAGUAAGUCCAGAGAUUAGAAAUCAGACCAGUAGAGGAAUUAUCACGGAUAAGGAAAGAACAGGUAAAAAUCUUAUAAGGAAAUAUCAGUUUUAAAAGGGAAGCACAAUUUCAAACCCUAACUAGGCAAGUAAAUCAAUUAACACGUUAA
This 396-nucleotide long non-coding RNA is filed under the name Nicotiana benthamiana. RNAcentral's name for it is "long non-coding RNA (NBEN_LNC005219)". Lineage: Eukaryota; Viridiplantae; Streptophyta; Magnoliopsida; Solanales; Solanaceae. The record is from RNAcentral.